UUUAACUGAGCGUUCAGUUACUUGACGUAGACCCGAAACCGGGCGACCUACCCAUGAGCAGGAUGAAGCGAAAGUAAAAUUUCGUGGAGGUCCGAACCCACGAGCGUUGAAAAGCUCGGGGAUGACUUGUGGGUAGCGGUGAAAUUCCAAUCGAGCCCGGAGAUAGCUGGUUCUCCCCGAAAUAGCUUUAGGGCUAGCCUCAAGGUGAGAGAUACGGAGGUAGAGCACUGAAUGUCCUAGGGGGUAUUGCACCUACCGAAGACUAUCAAACUCCGAAUGCCGUCAUCUUAUACUUGGGAGUCAGACUGUGGGUGAUAAGAUUCAUAGUCGAAAGGGCAACAGCCCAGAUCGUCAGCUAAGGUCCCUAAAUGUAAGUUAAGUGGUAAAGGAUGUGGGAUUGCACAGACAACCAGGAUGUUGGCUUAGAAGCAGCCACUCAUUCAAAGAGUGCGUAAUAGCUCACUGGUCGAGUGAUCCUGCGCCGAAGAUUUCCGGGGCUAAAACUUACUACCGAAGCUACGGCAUCAGUAUUGAUGGGUAGGGGAGCUUCCCAUACGGGUUGAAGCAUGACCGUAAGGACAUGUGGACAGUAUGGGAGUGAGAAUGUUGGCAUGAGUAGCGAGAUGUGGGUGGGAAUCCCACAGGCCGUAAACCCAAGGUUUCCAGGGGAAGGUUCGUCCGCCCUGGGUUAGUCGGGACCUACGCGGAGGCCGAAAGGCGUAGGUGAUGGACAACAGGUUGAUAUUCCUGUACUACCGAUAACCGUUUGAGAGAUGGGAUGACACAGUAGGAUACGCUAAGCACACUGUUGGUUAUGUGUGCCCAAGCAUUGAGGCAGUCAAAGUAGGCAAAUCCGCUUUGAUAAUGCUGGGAUGUGAUGGGGAGCGAAAUUUAGUAGCGAAGUAGCUGAUUUCACACUGUCAAGAAAAGUCUCUAUCGAGGUUAAAGGUACCCGUACCGCAAACCGACACAGGUG
RNAcentral lists this ribosomal RNA (976 nucleotides) under Clostridioides difficile. RNAcentral's name for it is "bacterial LSU rRNA". It matches the Rfam family "Bacterial large subunit ribosomal RNA", at positions 683 to 1665 of the family's 2925-position model. The record is from RNAcentral. Lineage: Bacteria; Bacillati; Bacillota; Clostridia; Peptostreptococcales; Peptostreptococcaceae.